UACGUUCCCGGACCUUGUACACACCGCCCGUCAAGCCAUGGGAGUUGGGAGGACCUGAAGCCAGUUGCUGUAAGGCGCUGUUUAGGGUUAAACCAAUGACUGGGGCU
This 107-nucleotide ribosomal RNA is filed under the name uncultured bacterium. RNAcentral's name for it is "partial 16S ribosomal RNA". It matches the Rfam family "Bacterial small subunit ribosomal RNA", at positions 1367 to 1482 of the family's 1533-position model. The record is from RNAcentral.